Molecule: ribosomal RNA, 468 nt
Filed under: uncultured bacterium
Lineage: Bacteria
Description: partial 16S ribosomal RNA
Rfam family: Bacterial small subunit ribosomal RNA
Source: RNAcentral
GACGAACGCUGGCGGCGUGCUUAACACAUGCAAGUCGAACGGAAAGGCCCUGCUUUUGUGGGGUUCUCGAGUGGCGAACGGGUGAGUAACACGUGAGUAACCUGCCCUUGACUUUGGUAUAACUUCAGGAAACUGGGGCUAAUACCGGAUAGGAGCUCCUGCUGCAUGGUGGGGGUUGGAAAGUUUCGGCGGUUGGGGAUGGACUCGCGGCUUAUCAGCUUGUUGGUGGGGUAGUGGCUUACCAAGGCUUUGACGGGUAGCCGGCCUGAGAGGGUGACCGGCCACAGUGGGACUGAGAUACGGCCCAGACUCCUACGGGAGGCAGCAGUGGGGAAUAUUGCACAAUGGGCGGAAGCCUGAUGCAGCAACGCCGCGUGCGGGAUGACGGCCUUCGGGUUGUAAACCGCUUUCGCCGGUGACGAAGCGUGAGUGACGGUAAUGGGUAAAGAAGCACCGGCUAACUACGUG